Molecule: ribosomal RNA, 550 nt
Filed under: Psora globifera
Lineage: Eukaryota; Fungi; Ascomycota; Lecanoromycetes; Lecanorales; Psoraceae
Description: eukaryotic LSU rRNA
Rfam family: 5.8S ribosomal RNA (bases 201-354)
Source: RNAcentral
AAGGAUCAUUACAGAGAGGGGCCUUUGAGUCCCAGGGGGCUGCGUCCCCCGCCUCUACACCCGUGAAUAUCUACUUUUCCGUUGCUUUGGCGGGACUUUUGGGGUAACACCCAAUGCCGGUGCGCCGGAAAGCGCCCGUCAAAACCCCCCUUCAAAACUGGUUUUUAGGGACGUCCGAGUCAUCAUUUAAUUCAAAACAAAACUUUCAACAACGGAUCUCUUGGUUCUGGCAUCGAUGAAGAACGCAGCGAAAUGCGAUAACUAAUGUGAAUUGCAGAAUUCAGUGAAUCAUCGAAUCUUUGAACGCACAUUGCGCCCCUCGGUACCCCGGGGGGCAUGCCUGUUCGAGCGUCAUUGCACCCCUCAAGCGUAGCUUGGUCUUGGGUUUUCGCCCCUGGGCGGACCUUAAAAGUAGUAGCGGUCCGGAGUGAUUUUCAAGCGAAGUAACCACAUCAUCCGCUCUGUAUUCUCACCCCGUGCCUAAUGUUACGAUAUCGCGAUCGUUUCAAUGAUUGACCUCGGAUCAGGUAGGGAUACCCGCUGAACUUAA